ACCUAUCAACGGAAGAGCCCAGAAGAGAAGAUCAUUUUUCAAUAGACACAUAUCCAACCCCUUUCACCUGCUUCUGCCAUCUGUAAUAUGCCAUAAUGCAAAGUACCUGUGAUAAGGUGAAGACUGCCUUCUGCUUCUGCCCAGUACCAGAGGAACGAGCAAAAUGCCCAGAAUAGGACGAGCAACUUUAUAAAUUCCCUUUAUGCACAACUCAGUGGAUGCUUGGAACUGUUUAAACCUGGGGAACAUGAAGAGGAGAAAAAUUGAAGUUUGGCAAUUGACCACACAGACAUUAAAGUUACAGACACUGAAAAGCAAAGCAAAUGAGUAAUUGCUGGUCUUUUAAUAACAAGAACUGUGAUACAGUGAAGAAGUGAAGUGGGUAUAGCACCAUGGGAAGAAGCCGUAAAGGUCUCAAGUUCUUUAACUCCUAGCAAAUCUCUGCUACCAGCUCCUGUGGUUAGUGUAAUAGCAAAUGGCUAUUGAAACAAGUUUGUGGUGUCCUUCAUGAUCCUUCUCACUGGCCUGGGCAGGAAAAGCCAGAUGUAUAAAAAUGUCAAUAAAUUGUUGUAAGACCCCAUUGAAAACAACAGUUUAGUGAAAUGACAAGGAAAUGUAUGAAAUGAUUUGUGGGUUUAGUUUUUGAGUUUAGCUUUCUCUGCUAAAAAUGUUUCAGAACUUUCUGGGUUUUGGAGAUAUAACAUCAAAAUACAAAGUUUGCUUAACCACGUGAGACAACCCAAACAGUGCCACUGGCAAGUCCUGCAGGGGAGCAAAAAAUGAUGAAAACGUGUGUGAUGUUAUUUUUUAUUCCUCCUGGUUAUCCAUCAGGCAGAAACAGUUAAACCAGAACCAACAGCAUGGUGUAUUUCACAGAAAUCUGAGUCUAUUACCUCUUUUUACAUUAUAAGGUAGACAGGAAUCUCAUAGUGCACAAUGUACAAGGAAAGAAUCCCUCUGGGCAGCCUCUCCUCCCAUGGGAGGCCUGGAACAGCAGGGGGCAUUUGAAGCAUUGCAGCAUUUGUUCUCUACUUGACGUUCAUUCACAGGUUGAUAUUUUUUUUGUUCUACCCUCUCAGUUUCUCCGUUUCUUGUCACAUCAAGGAGAGGAUUCAAAACAGUUCCCACUAGUGGAGACUUUAUAUUUUCACACCCUAUCAGCAUAAUCAAAAUAGCUGGAUGCUUAUAACAUGGCUGUAGAGGUGCCCUGUGUGGCAUCAGCCAUAAGAGCUGUCUGUGUAAAUGAAACAAAAGGAAAAUCUUCGUAGUCUUCAGACCAAAAAUUGUCUUUCCAAAAAUACUGCUAUGCUCGGGAGCACAGAAGAAUGCCAUGCAUCAGAGGUGAUCAGACUGGAUUGCCAACCUUUUGUUCAGCUGUCAGAUCAUCUGAAUGAAGAUGGCUUAGUGUCAGGCAUCCUGUUACUGUUGCAGCUCCUUCAUGCUUAUGCUUGUUUAAUUUGUUCCCUGGGUGAAGCUGGCAAGACUCAGCACAACGUGAAUGAUCUUGCCCCUGGAAUCCUGAGCAUUUGCCUAGGUGAUCUACACAGAAUCCCUGCGCUGCUAACAUGGCUCACAUCCUGCUUAUUGCAUGUUGAUAUCAAUGUAAUUAAUAAUGAUCACAGAUUAACCUUCUUCUCUCAAAGCAAGAUAACAUUAAUAGUGGUUGAAGUCCUCCUCUAUGCUUUAAUUCAUAAUAUUUUACUUUGAAGUGUUUCUCUCAGUGCCAUUUUCUCAUCUAAAUAUAUUGCCAUGUAAAGCCCACUAAGCUGUUUGGUGCCCAUUUAUUGCAUGUAAGCAUUAAGGAUCAAUUCCAUCCCCUCAAGCCUUUCCUUAGCUUUGGACCAUGUGCCUUUAUAGACUUUACAAGAUGUGCUACCACAUUCAUCACUAUAAAUUCCAAUGUACGCUUAAGGACUUCAAUGUUUGGUCCCAGGAGUCUUCAGAUAUAUGUGAGUUAGGUACUCAUUAAGGUUUAACAAAUGUGCAAAAUAAAUAUAUUC
Long non-coding RNA from Pogoniulus pusillus (Red-fronted tinkerbird), 2000 nucleotides. RefSeq lists it as uncharacterized. The transcript is spliced from 3 exons. NCBI's taxonomy places the organism in Eukaryota, Metazoa, Chordata, Aves, Piciformes, Lybiidae. The record is from RefSeq and is a predicted model, not a curated record.